CUCUCCAACGGCUCUCUCCCCCUCUCUCCCCCUCUCUCUCUCGCCCGACCCUCUCCCCACCCCCAGCUUACCGGCCCCGGUUCCCGGCGCCGUCGCCGACCCGAUCCGGCCGCCGGCUCCGACCGACGGUCGCCGGCGCUGAUCAGAUCGCCGGCUACGGCCUCCGGUCGCCGGUUCUCCUUCUCCCUCUCUCUCUCUCU
This 200-nucleotide long non-coding RNA is filed under the name Capsicum annuum. RNAcentral describes it as "long non-coding RNA (CANN_LNC021891)". Lineage: Eukaryota; Viridiplantae; Streptophyta; Magnoliopsida; Solanales; Solanaceae. The record is from RNAcentral.